AAAUACCACCCUGGCAACUUUGAGGUUCUAACUCAGGUCCGUUAUCCGGAUCGAGGACAGUGUAUGGUGGGUAGUUUGACUGGGGCGGUCUCCUCCUAAAGAGUAACGGAGGAGUACGAAGGUGCGCUCAGACCGGUCGGAAAUCGGUCGUAGAGUAUAAAGGCAAAAGCGCGCUUGACUGCGAGACAGACACGUCGAGCAGGUACGAAAGUAG
RNAcentral lists this ribosomal RNA (214 nucleotides) under Yersinia pestis. RNAcentral's name for it is "partial 23S ribosomal RNA". It matches the Rfam family "Bacterial large subunit ribosomal RNA", at positions 2195 to 2408 of the family's 2925-position model. Lineage: Bacteria; Pseudomonadati; Pseudomonadota; Gammaproteobacteria; Enterobacterales; Yersiniaceae. The record is from RNAcentral.